This 447-nucleotide ribosomal RNA is filed under the name uncultured bacterium. RNAcentral's name for it is "bacterial SSU rRNA". It matches the Rfam family "Bacterial small subunit ribosomal RNA", at positions 355 to 825 of the family's 1533-position model. The record is from RNAcentral.
UCGGGAAUUUUGGGCAAUGGGCGAAAGCCUGACCCAGCAACGCCGCGUGAAGGAUGAAGUCUCUCGGGAUGUAAACUUCGUAAGAAUAGGAAGAAUAAAUGACGGUACUAUUUGUAAGGUCCGGCUAACUACGUGCCAGCAGCCGCGGUAAUACGUAGGGACCAAGCGUUGUUCGGAUUUACUGGGCGUAAAGGGCGCGUAGGCGGUUUGUCAAGUCAGUUGUGAAAUCUCCGAGCUUAACUCGGAACGGUCAACUGAUACUGUCAAACUAGAGUACAGAAGGGGCAAUCGGAAUUCUUGGUGUAGCGGUGAAAUGCGUAGAUAUCAAGAGGAACACCUGAGGCGAAGGCGGGUUGCUGGGCUGAUACUGACGCUGAGGCGCGAAAGCUAGGGUAGCAAACGGGAUUAGAUACCCCUGUAGUCCCUGAGCGGGCUGGCAAGGCGCAU